RNAcentral lists this ribosomal RNA (1235 nucleotides) under metagenome. RNAcentral describes it as "bacterial LSU rRNA". It matches the Rfam family "Bacterial large subunit ribosomal RNA", at positions 1564 to 2808 of the family's 2925-position model. The record is from RNAcentral.
UGAGUACGAGAUGCUACGGCAUCGAAGCAGUCUAUGUCAUACUUCCAAGAAAAGCUUGCACUGUCAUAAACAAAGAAUGCCUGUACCAUAACCGACACAGGUGGGUAGGUAGAGUAUACUAAGGGGCGCGAGAUAACUCUCUCUAAGGAACUCGGCAAAAUGACUCCGUAACUUCGGGAGAAGGAGUGCCUUAUUUCUAAGGUUGCAAUAACAAGAUCCAAGCAACUGUUUACCAAAAACACAGGUCUCCGCUAAGUCGUAGGACGAUGUAUGGGGGCUGACGCCUGCCCAGUGCCAGAAGGUUAAAGAAGUUGGUUAGCAUUAGCGAAGCUGAUAACUGAAGCCCUGGUGAACGGCGGCCGUAACAAUAACGGUCCUAAGGUAGCGAAAUUCCUUGUCGGGUAAGUUCCGACCCGCACGAAAGGCGUAAUGAUUUGGAUACUGUCUCGGAGAGGGGCUCGGUGAAAUAGACUUGUCUGUGAAGAUGCGGACUACCUGCACCUGGACAGAAAGACCCUAUGAAGCUUUACUGUAACUUGAGAUUGAAAUUGGACUUUAUUUGCGCAGUAUAGGUGGGAGGCGUUGAGAAUAAUCUUGCGGGAUUGUUGGAGCCAUCAGUGAGAUACCACUCUUGUAAUGUUAGAUUUCUAACUUUGUAUCAUUAUCUGGUCAGAGAACAGUUUCAGGCGGGCAGUUUGACUGGGGCGGUCGCCUCCCAAAGGGUAACGGAGGCGCACAAAGGUUUCCUCUGAACGGGUAGAAAUCGUAUCUAGAGUGUAAAGGCAUAAGGAAGCUUGACUGUGAGACCUACAAGUCGAGCAGGGACGAAAGUCGGUCUUAGUGAUCUGACGGUGCUGAGUGGAAAGGCCGUCACUCAACGGAUAAAAGUUACUCUAAGGAUAACAGGCUGAUCUCCCCCAAGAGUUCACAUCGACGGGGAGGUUUGGCACCUCGAUGUCGGCUCAUCGCAUCCUGGGGCGGUAGUCCGUCCCAAGGGUUGGGCUGUUCGCCCAUGAAAGCGGUACGCGAGCUGGGUUCAGAACGUCGUGAGACAGUUCGGUCCAUAUCCGGUGUAGGCGUUAGAAUAUUGAGAGGAGCCUUCUCUAGUACGAGAGGACCGAGAAGGACAUACCUCUGGUGUACCAGUUAUCGUGCCAACGGUAAACGCUGGGUAGCUAUGUAUGGAGUGGAUAACCGCUGAAAGCAUCUAAGUGGGAAGCCCACCUCAAGAUAAG